This 1743-nucleotide long non-coding RNA is filed under the name Pelobates cultripes (western spadefoot toad). The record is from RNAcentral. Lineage: Eukaryota; Metazoa; Chordata; Amphibia; Anura; Pelobatidae.
UUGGAGUGUCUUGCAAUGGAUGCUUGUUAUGUAAUUUCAUAGUUUAAUCAAAAAACUAUUACUUAAACACAUACCUGUGAUACAUCAUAUUGGGAAGGUAAUACUACCUCUCUGCAGGUACAAGAGCUAGCAUUGGAUGCAUAUGCUAUACAACUCUACUUCUACUCUUUACCUGAUUCACCCUACAUAAUGAACAGUACUCACACCAUGUGCUGAACUGCAUUAAAUUCCCUGCUGGUUAUGGUUUUAUGGGGUUUACUCAGCAACCAAUUAACAUAUCAGGAAUACCAGGAUUGCCAGAGCCACAUGUUGGUCUUGGCAAAGUUCAAUGUAGAAUUUUCUUCACAGUUUGCAGAGAGUAUAGGCUAUUUGAAGAUUACUUUCUUUUCAUUAUACAUUUUCAUAAUAUUUAUUUUUGCAUUAUCGGUAAGGCUCAGUUCAACCUGUAGUAUCUCUUCUAACAUGAGGAGGUUAAAUGUACAUGAGGAAGCAACUCCUCACAACUUUACCUACUUUAUUCCUUACCUUGUGGUAGGUAAUGUGGUCCCUGGAGGUCCAGUGAUGGAGCAUUGUGGUCUAUUAGGAGCAGAUCAAUUUAAGGUCUCCCUUGCAGUUCCAGUUGCCUGCGGCCUGGGCCAGCCUUGGAACUAGCAGUAGUCCUGGAAAAAAUGGAGAUCCUGUACUACAGUCCGCUCGGGCAUGCUACAUGUAGUGACAGGCAGUGCUAAGCAAUUGCGCCCAAGGGCCAGUGCACCCUAGGCGGCUGUGCACAGGCCCUGAAGGUAUGGGGGCCAACUGGAAAAGAUGGGCUAGUCUGACCCUGUCUGUGGCACUCAGAGACAUUAAUAAGUUCAGUAGCUUACGAAUAAAAUAAUAGAAGCAUCAGUAUUGGCAGAGCCACUUCCUGGUCUUUUAAAAGUUCACAGUAGAAGUUGAAACACGUAGAAGGAUUGUAGAACAUGCAAAGAAAAGUGCACUUAAAGACCAUCAUGCAAAACCAAGAAAUCAUCCUGAUAAAAAUGGGAAAAUCAGGAUUUAUUAAGAAAGCACAGCAAUAUCAUAUAUCCAUUUGUUGUUCGUUGCAAAUCUCACAGAUUCUGGGGAUAGGGUACAUUGACAGGUAAGUAUUUUUAUAUUUUUUUUUUAAGCAUUAUCGCUAUUAUACAUUGUUCAUUUUACAAAGGUAGUCUACUAUCGACCGUUUGUUCAAAUGUGUGUUAAAUAAAAAUAGCUAAAUUACAGUGAGAAAGUUAGAAGAGAGGGAAGUACAUUCUUAUUUAAUUAUCACCACUUGCUCCACCUAUUUUCUGUGUGUUAUAAAUUAGGUAAGAGUAAUAUGCAAAACUCACCAAAAUGGUUGUGUACCCGAGGCACUGAAAUUGGACAGCUCUGACUGUAAUUACUUUUAAUUAUUCCUAUGUAUAGGAAAUCCUAUAAUCUCUCUUAAUACUAAUUUGUCUUUUUUCCCUCUAGCUACAAAAACCUAGGCGUGGAUGCAGCUCACACUGAUUACCAAAAGAAAGAAAAUGUGAUAAUGCCUGAUUACUUCUCCAACUUUUACUACACAAAUAUGUUUCCCUUCAUCACUUAAUCCCUUUUCAUUAAUACUCUGUAUAACAAAGAAAGAAGUCACAUAACAAUAAAGACAAAAUGGCUAUAUUUGUUUAUGAGCUUUAUUGUAUACACAUGUAUACCUGUAUAAUUCACAAAAGGUACAAAGAAAUAUAAAUAAAUAAAUAAUAA